AUUGAACGCUGGCGGCAGGCCUAACACAUGCAAGUCGAGCGGAUGAAGGGAGCUUGCUCCUGGAUUCAGCGGCGGACGGGUGAGUAAUGCCUAGGAAUCUGCCUGGUAGUGGGGGAUAACGUCCGGAAACGGGCGCUAAUACCGCAUACGUCCUGAGGGAGAAAGUGGGGGAUCUUCGGACCUCACGCUAUCAGAUGAGCCUAGGUCGGAUUAGCUAGUUGGUGGGGUAAAGGCCUACUAAGGCGACGAUCCGUAACUGGUCUGAGAGGAUGAUCAGUCACACUGGAACUGAGACACGGUCCAGACUCCUACGGGAGGCAGCAGUGGGGAAUAUUGGACAAUGGGCGAAAGCCUGAUCCAGCCAUGCCGCGUGUGUGAAGAAGGUCUUCGGAUUGUAAAGCACUUUAAGUUGGGAGGAAGGGCAGUAAGUUAAUACCUUGCUGUUUUGACGUGACCAACAGAAUAAGCACCGGCUAACUUCGU
RNAcentral lists this ribosomal RNA (483 nucleotides) under uncultured bacterium. RNAcentral's name for it is "partial 16S ribosomal RNA". It matches the Rfam family "Bacterial small subunit ribosomal RNA", at positions 30 to 506 of the family's 1533-position model. The record is from RNAcentral.